Morus notabilis is the source of this 594-nucleotide long non-coding RNA. RefSeq lists it as uncharacterized. Lineage: Eukaryota; Viridiplantae; Streptophyta; Magnoliopsida; Rosales; Moraceae. The transcript is spliced from 2 exons. The record is from RefSeq and is a predicted model, not a curated record.
ACUACAAUAAAUAAGUGAAGCAUGGGAUAAAGUUUAAAGACAAGCAAUAACAACUUGAGUGUCUCCAAAGAUGAAGCAGGUUCUUUUCGUACUAAGCAUUCUCUUGGCUACCAUUAUCUUCUUUCCCAAUUUUAUCCUAGCUCGACAACUAACUGCAGAGGAUAGAAAUUUCCACAACGUUCCUGCAUCUCCGGCAAUGAAUCCACAUCGGAAAUGCGGCCUAGGCGACAAGAAUUCACCGUGCCACCCAAACAAGAAUUCACGGCAAAGCCCGCCAAAGCCUGUGUGUCGCCCAUAUUCGCGCAAUUGCCGACCUUGAUCAGGCUUUUCAUGACUUGAUCAAUCAGAAGCAUCCACUUAGAGACUUUUCUUCAGGCUUAAAUUAAUAAAAUUCUCUGGCUACUAUGAGAUGUACAAUACGUUGAGCGUGCAUGUACAUGUUGUGUCUGUUUGCUUGGUAUAUUUUAAUCAUGUGAACAAAUGGCUGAGAAAUAUUAAUAGGGUAAUAUGGUUUGCUGUGAUAUAUGUGAGAACUGACGUACCAUGUACUUCUAAUACCCUUCAAGUCAGUAAAGAAGAGCUUCAUGACAUCUA